Molecule: ribosomal RNA, 330 nt
Filed under: Triticum aestivum (bread wheat)
Lineage: Eukaryota; Viridiplantae; Streptophyta; Magnoliopsida; Poales; Poaceae
Description: partial small subunit ribosomal RNA
Source: RNAcentral
AUGAAAUGCGAGAGCAAGCCAGAGGGGCAGAUCGUGAAGAAAUGCACACAUUUUGAAUGGCUAGAUGACUAUGUUAAGCGGAUUCAAUUCAAUGGGGCCCCAACCCGGGAGCUCAAUCUGCCGUCAGCAACAAAGAAUUUGGUCCCUGAAAGUGCUGCUCUGACAGUUGGGGAUGCAGAUCUGAAGGGGGAAAUAAAGAAGAUGAACAAGAACUUGAAGCAGAUGAUUCAAUCGAACAAGCAGGCGAAUCUGAUAGCUUUAGGAUUUUAUCCCUUUUAUUUUUGUCUAGUUGCUCUAGGAUUUGCUUACUUGGUGGUCAUCACUCAUUAG